AGAGUUUGAUCAUGGCUCAGAUUGAACGCUGGCGGCAGGCCUAACACAUGCAAGUCGAACGGUAACAGGAAACAGCUUGCUGUUUCGCUGACGAGUGGCGGACGGGUGAGUAAUGUCUGGGAAACUGCCUGAUGGAGGGGGAUAACUACUGGAAACGGUAGCUAAUACCGCAUAACGUCGCAAGACCAAAGAGGGGGACCUUCGGGCCUCUUGCCAUCAGAUGUGCCCAGAUGGGAUUAGCUAGUAGGUGGGGUAACGGCUCACCUAGGCGACGAUCCCUAGCUGGUCUGAGAGGAUGACCAGCCACACUGGAACUGAGACACGGUCCAGACUCCUACGGGAGGCAGCAGUGGGGAAUAUUGCACAAUGGGCGCAAGCCUGAUGCAGCCAUGCCGCGUGUAUGAAGAAGGCCUUCGGGUUGUAAAGUACUUUCAGCGGGGAGGAAGGGAGUAAAGUUAAUACCUUUGCUCAUUGACGUUACCCGCAGAAGAAGCACCGGCUAACUCCGUGCCAGCAGCCGCGGUAAUACGGAGGGUGCAAGCGUUAAUCGGAAUUACUGGGCGUAAAGCGCACGCAGGCGGUUUGUUAAGUCAGAUGUGAAAUCCCCGGGCUCAACCUGGGAACUGCAUCUGAUACUGGCAAGCUUGAGUCUCGUAGAGGGGGGUAGAAUUCCAGGUGUAGCGGUGAAAUGCGUAGAGAUCUGGAGGAAUACCGGUGGCGAAGGCGGCCCCCUGGACGAAGACUGACGCUCAGGUGCGAAAGCGUGGGGAGCAAACAGGAUUAGAUACCCUGGUAGUCCACGCCGUAAACGAUGUCGACUUGGAGGUUGUGCCCUUGAGGCGUGGCUUCCGGAGCUAACGCGUUAAGUCGACCGCCUGGGGAGUACGGCCGCAAGGUUAAAACUCAAAUGAAUUGACGGGGGCCCGCACAAGCGGUGGAGCAUGUGGUUUAAUUCGAUGCAACGCGAAGAACCUUACCUGGUCUUGACAUCCACGGAAGUUUUCAGAGAUGAGAAUGUGCCUUCGGGAACCGUGAGACAGGUGCUGCAUGGCUGUCGUCAGCUCGUGUUGUGAAAUGUUGGGUUAAGUCCCGCAACGAGCGCAACCCUUAUCCUUUGUUGCCAGCGGUCCGGCCGGGAACUCAAAGGAGACUGCCAGUGAUAAACUGGAGGAAGGUGGGGAUGACGUCAAGUCAUCAUGGCCCUUACGACCAGGGCUACACACGUGCUACAAUGGCGCAUACAAAGAGAAGCGACCUCGCGAGAGCAAGCGGACCUCAUAAAGUGCGUCGUAGUCCGGAUUGGAGUCUGCAACUCGACUCCAUGAAGUCGGAAUCGCUAGUAAUCAUGGAUCAGAAUGCCACGGUGAAUACGUUCCCGGGCCUUGUACACACCGCCCGUCACACCAUGGGAGUGGGUUGCAAAAGAAGUAGGUAGCUUAACCUUCGGGAGGGCGCUUACCACUUUGUGAUUCAUGACUGGGGUGAAGUCGUAACAAGGUAACCGUAGGGGAACCUGCGGUUG
RNAcentral lists this ribosomal RNA (1522 nucleotides) under metagenome. RNAcentral describes it as "bacterial SSU rRNA". It matches the Rfam family "Bacterial small subunit ribosomal RNA". The record is from RNAcentral.